This 809-nucleotide ribosomal RNA is filed under the name Stachybotrys chlorohalonatus. RNAcentral's name for it is "Stachybotrys chlorohalonata partial large subunit ribosomal RNA". It matches the Rfam family "Eukaryotic large subunit ribosomal RNA", at positions 87 to 933 of the family's 3401-position model. The record is from RNAcentral. Lineage: Eukaryota; Fungi; Ascomycota; Sordariomycetes; Hypocreales; Stachybotryaceae.
CGGCGAGUGAAGCGGCAACAGCUCAAUUUGAAUCUGGCCCCAGGCCCGAGUUGUAAUUUGCAGAGGAUGCUUUUGGCGCGGUGCCUUCCGAGUUCCCUGGAACGGGACGCCAUAGAGGGUGAGAGCCCCGUCUGGUUGGAUACCAAGCCUUUGUAAAGCUCCUUCGACGAGUCGAGUAGUUUGGGAAUGCUGCUCUAAAUGGGAGGUAUAUGUCUUCUAAAGCUAAAUACCGGCCAGAGACCGAUAGCGCACAAGUAGAGUGAUCGAAAGAUGAAAAGCACUUUGGAAAGAGAGUUAAACAGCACGUGAAAUUGUUAAAAGGGAAGCGUUUAUGACCAGACUUGGGCCGGUUAAUCAUCCAGCGUUCUCGCUGGUGCACUUUGCCGGUCCAGGCCAGCAUCAGUUCGCUGCGGGGGAUAAAGGCGUCGGGAAUGUGGCUCCUCCGGAGUGUUAUAGCCCUUCGCGCAAUACCCUGCGGUGGACUGAGGUUCGCGCAUCUGCAAGGAUGCUGGCGUAAUGGUCAUCAACGACCCGUCUUGAAACACGGACCAAGGAGUCGUCUUCGUAUGCGAGUGUUCGGGUGUAAAACCCCUACGCGUAAUGAAAGUGAACGCAGGUGAGAGCUUCGGCGCAUCAUCGACCGAUCCUGAUGUUCUCGGAUGGAUUUGAGUAAGAGCAUACGGGGCCGGACCCGAAAGAAGGUGAACUAUGCCUGUAUAGGGUGAAGCCAGAGGAAACUCUGGUGGAGGCUCGCAGCGGUUCUGACGUGCAAAUCGAUCGUCAAAUAUGGGCAUGGGGGCGAAAGACUA